Molecule: ribosomal RNA, 497 nt
Filed under: uncultured bacterium
Lineage: Bacteria
Description: partial 16S ribosomal RNA
Rfam family: Bacterial small subunit ribosomal RNA
Source: RNAcentral
GACGAACGCUGGCGGCGUGCCUAAUACAUGCAAGUUGAGCGCUGAAGGUUGGUACUUGUACCAACUGGAUGAGCAGCGAACGGGUGAGUAACGCGUGGGGAAUCUGCCUUUGAGCGGGGGGCAACAUUUGGAAACGAAUGCUAAUACCGCAUAAAAACUUUAAACACAAGUUUUAAGUUUGAAAGAUGCAAUUGCAUCACUCAAAGAUGAUCCCGCGUUGUAUUAGCUAGUUGGUGAGGUAAAGGCUCACCAAGGCGAUGAUACAUAGCCGACCUGAGAGGGUGGUCGGCCACAUUGGGACUGAGACACGGCCCAAACUCCUACGGGAGGCAGCAGUAGGGAAUCUUCGGCAAUGGACGAAAGUCUGACCGAGCAACGCCGCGUGAGUGAAGAAGGUUUUCGGAUCGUAAAACUCUGUUGGUAGAGAAGAACGUUGGUGAGAGUGGAAAGCUCAUCAAGUGACGGUAACUACCCAGAAAGGGACGGCUAACUACGUG